AUUAUUGCAUAUUUUGGCAAAUACCAAUAAAGAUUUUUGCAUUAUAUAAUUUUUCUGCUUACUAUUAUAAGGGCAUAGUCACUUUAAAAACACAAAACACAGUAGUGUUGCAUUAAAUAAAAAUGAUGUCAAUCUCUUUAACCAAGAUAAAUGUGUAUAUUUUACAGGAACAGCAAAGGGUACACAUCAAUCAUUUGUCUAUAUACCAAACACCUUUGCUGAUGUUAUUUUCUUUAUACAUGAGAAAUGAAAAGGCAGGAUACUAUAAGGCAGCUUUGUAAUGUAUGAAGGAUGUUAUUUUAUUUACAUUCAAACAUUUUGUUUGGUG
This is a non-coding RNA of Pelobates cultripes (western spadefoot toad), 328 nucleotides long. The record is from the annotation of a GenBank genome assembly. NCBI's taxonomy places the organism in Eukaryota, Metazoa, Chordata, Amphibia, Anura, Pelobatidae.